CGUGGGUACACUUGCUGAAGCCUUAGCAGCCCGAAAGGGUGCCCCUUGACGACUAUAAACAACCAGAGGGUCUGAAAUGCUAGUCCCUUCUCUGAUAGGGAAGGAGGCAACACUGUCAAAUUGCGGGAACCCCCUAAAGACCUUGACACCAAGCGCCUACUGGAAACAGUGGCGUGGCCGAGUUAAUUGCCCUGGGUAUGGUAAAAGUUCAAGGUAUGAGCUCAAGUAAUUGGGUGAAAUGGGCAAUCUGCAGCCAAAUCCUAAAGCCCUCCUCCUUAUGGGGAGGGGAGCUAUGGAUGCUGUUCACAGGCCAAAUGGCAGUGGGUGAAAGGAAAAAGACAAUUCCUUUUGCUUAAGAUAUGGUCGGUCCCCCAGUGAAAAUUGGGGGGUUUAAGUUUACUCAAACAAACGUUCCGUAGGUGAACCUGCGGAAGGAUCAUUACCGAGUUAGGGUCUUCCAUGGCCCAACCUCAAACCCCUUGUGUACUACCAAGCGUUUUAUUGUUGCUUUGGUGGGCCAAAAAUGCCUGCCAAAGCCCAACCAAAAAAUCUUUAGCAAUAAUGUCGUCUGAGUUAUCAAAGUAAUAAUUAAAACUUUCAACAACGGAUCUCUUGGUUCCCGCAUCGAUGAAGAACGCAGCGAAAUGCGAUAAGUAAUGUGAAUUGCAGAAUUCAGUGAAUCAUCGAAUCUUUGAACGCACAUUGCGCCCUUUGGCAUUCCGAAGGGCAUGCCUGUUCGAGCGUCAUGAUCAAACCUCAAGCCUUGCUUGGUAUUGGGUUUUCGUCUUCCCCGUGGAUUGUUUUGAAUACAAUAUUACGGGUACUGGCGUGCCUGAAAUUCAUUAGCGGUGUCUCAAUAGACUCAAGCGUAGCAGACUGACUCGCUUUGGAGAACUUUUGUGGGCACUGUCAAUAAAAUAGUUAAAUUGGACCUC
RNAcentral lists this ribosomal RNA (935 nucleotides) under Geoglossum cookeanum. RNAcentral describes it as "eukaryotic LSU rRNA". The stretch from base 593 to 746 matches the Rfam family "5.8S ribosomal RNA". The record is from RNAcentral. Lineage: Eukaryota; Fungi; Ascomycota; Geoglossomycetes; Geoglossales; Geoglossaceae.